GUCCAUAGCGACGGCGGAGUUCGGCACCUCGAUGUCGGCUCACCUUAGCGCGGGGCUGGAGAAGGUCCCAAGCGUUUGGCUGUUCGCCAAUUAAAAAGGUACGCGAGCUGGGUUCAAACCGUGAGGGCUGUUGAGUCUUUGACUCGACACUCUCACCGUUUGAAUCCCUUCGAGAUUUCUGUUGUCAGAAUUCGAUAAAGUGAAGAAAGAAUUAGAAUGAAUGUCUUUUCGUCUUGAAAUUAAGUAUAGAACCAACCAUGACACGGCGGUUGCAUAUAGAAAUAUAUGCAAGCAAGCUGACUCAUAUCGGUGAAACCCGACUUUCUAGCAAUAGAGAAGGGUAAUACCGAGGGAAGGGAAGAAAAGCACCCGUAUCGAUUACGAUACGAGCGCUCGUUCGGCAAGAAAGAAACCAAGUUUACUUGUUUCUUUCUGCCUCACUUCACGCCCGUAGAGACUGAACGUCAGACACCCUUCGGGGUGAAAUUACAGUCCGAUCCUUGGAGUAAUCCAAGUUAACGAAAUGCGUGAGACAGGUUGGUCUCCUAUCUACUACAGGCGUUGAUACUUGAUGAGCGUUGCCCCUAGUACGAGAGGACCGGGGUGAACUGACCUCUGGUCUACGAGCUGUUCCGCCAGGAGCAUCGCUCGGUAGCUAUGUCGGGACGGGAUAACCGCUGAAAGCAUAUAAGCGGGAAGCCCACUCAAAGAUUAGGUAUCGUUAUGAGACUCCUAGAAGAUUACUAGGUUGAUAGGCUUUAGAUGUACGCACAGUAAUGUGUUCAGUCGAGAAGUACUAAUAUGUCCAGUCUCCCAUGCGG
This 821-nucleotide ribosomal RNA is filed under the name Minisyncoccota bacterium. RNAcentral's name for it is "partial 23S ribosomal RNA". It matches the Rfam family "Bacterial large subunit ribosomal RNA", at positions 2498 to 2925 of the family's 2925-position model. Lineage: Bacteria; Bacillati; Minisyncoccota. The record is from RNAcentral.